CCAGCCCAGCCCAGCAGAGUCAGAACCUGCACUUUAACAUGGUCCCUAGGUGAUUUGUGGGCCGGUUAACAUUUGAAGUGCCCUGGUCCAGCGCAUUAGAUGUGCACUCCUGUCUCCUGGUAGGUGCCUUGAGGUCAGGGGCCCCACUUCUUAAGACCCAGAGCGCUACCAGUACUUUAUUUAGUAUACAUAUCUAAUCAAUUUGGUUAACUGCUGCCCCCCAGCCACUCCUCACAACUUAGCCAUCAAUAGCAGAGAGAAUGCAGGCAUUUCUGCAGCCAGAAGCAGUGUAUGAAUGAAUGAAUGCAUGAAUGAAUUGCCUUAACAUUCUUACAAAGCACCCACCAUUCCCCAAACAAGAUGCCAAAGCUACAGGAAUGCAGAGAUGAUUCAGACAAGGAUUCUUUAGGGAAGUCACAGUCUCCUAGGGGAAACAGGCAUGAACAUGUCAUCACAAUACAGUGGAUGAGUGAAGUGAUAGCGCUAUGCCGGGCACUCCUGGGAGUGAAUGUUAGUUAAUCCAGGAUAGGGGAAGUUAGGGAGGGCUUCCUGGAGGAGGAGACUCUCCUCGCUGAGUUUAAGACGAUGAGCAGGAUUUGGACAAAGAGGAGAAGGAAGAGAAUUCCAGGCAAUGGACACAGCACAAAGAGAGAAGGUUCAUUCUGAAAGAAAGAGGAGGUCAAAAGUUCGUCACAAGCUCAGAUGAUGCGACCUUCAACCUGGGAGCCCACGGCAACGGAAAACAACUCACAACUUUGCUACAUCGAAGUUGAACCAGAUUGGUCUGGUGCAGUUGCAGCAGGAAUCUCGAUUCUAAACCCAUACCCACUACAAUUGGCUCAGGGCUAUGCACAUGACCAAGUUCAGAUCAAAGAGAGUCCCAUAGCAACAGCUACAGAAUCACAUUUUGAAGCAUUAGGACUCAGACAGGCACCAAAUUUUAAGUCUUCGGUGUAAAUCCAAGGUAGGUGAGGGCCAGGGAAUGGAUGUUGGCCUUGUCUGGUGAAGGACUGUGGGUGAUCGCGUCUUGG
Molecule: long non-coding RNA, 1031 nt
Organism: Chlorocebus sabaeus (green monkey)
Lineage: Eukaryota; Metazoa; Chordata; Mammalia; Primates; Cercopithecidae
Source: RefSeq, a predicted model, not a curated record